GUGGUGCAUGGUUGUCGUCAGCUCGUGUCGUGAGAUGUUGGGUUAAGUCCCGCAACGAGCGCAACCCUUGAUUUUAGUUGCCAGCAUUUAGUUGGGCACUCUAAAGUGACUGCCGGUGCAAGCCGGAGGAAGGUGGGGAUGACGUCAAAUCAUCAUGCCCCUUAUGACCUGGGCUACACACGUGCUACAAUGGAUAGUACAAAGGGUCGCGAAGCCGCGAGGUGGAGCUAAUCCCAUAAAACUAUUCUCAGUUCGGAUUGUAGGCUGCAACUCGCCUACAUGAAGCCGGAAUCGCUAGUAAUCGUGGAUCAGCAUGCCACGGUGAAUACGUUCCCGGGCCUUGUACACACCGCCCGUCACACCACGAGAGUUUGUAACACCCGAAGUCGGUAGGGUAACCUUUAUGGAGCCAGCCGCCGAAGGUGGGACAGAUAAUUGGGGUGAAGUCGUAACAAGGUAGCCGUAUCGGAAGGUGCGGCUGGAUCACCUCCUUU
Molecule: ribosomal RNA, 494 nt
Filed under: Listeria monocytogenes
Lineage: Bacteria; Bacillati; Bacillota; Bacilli; Caryophanales; Listeriaceae
Description: bacterial SSU rRNA
Rfam family: Bacterial small subunit ribosomal RNA
Source: RNAcentral